Molecule: long non-coding RNA, 448 nt
Filed under: Brachypodium distachyon (stiff brome)
Lineage: Eukaryota; Viridiplantae; Streptophyta; Magnoliopsida; Poales; Poaceae
Description: long non-coding RNA (BDIS_LNC003536)
Source: RNAcentral
AGUUCAAUUUUGCAAGGAUAACUGAUAUGGACAUUUGUAUUUUAACUUUAAAACAUGAUCUUAGGUCACUUUGGUGUGUUUGCCCUAUCGAUCUUUUUUUUUUUUGAACUGAACGGAAGGGGAGUCCCCUACCUUAAUUUUAUAAACAUUACCAAGAAAGGCAUCAUCUUACAGGGAGAUAUGCAAGAAGUACGGGGGGAGAGGAGGAACAAAUGCAAAAGACUACUUUUUGAUUACAUCAUGUAAGAAUACCACACACACUUUUAAUCAGGCCAUGAGUCUAUCAAGUGCUGGGCAGCCUGUUUCUCGAUCUUUUUCAUACGUAAAAACCACAAUUUGAGGGUAUCUUGACAUUGACGGACAACCAUGGGGAUAGUAAAACGAACAUUGUCAAAUAUUUUACGGUUUCUUGCUAACCAUAAAUUCCAAAGAAUUGCCACAGUCAUCU